This 68-nucleotide transfer RNA is filed under the name Pyrausta despicata. RNAcentral's name for it is "tRNA-Asp". The record is from RNAcentral. Lineage: Eukaryota; Metazoa; Arthropoda; Insecta; Lepidoptera; Crambidae.
AAAGGAUUAGUUAAAAAAUAACAUAAAUAUGUCAAAUUUAAAUUAUUAUAAUUUUAUAAUAUUCUUUU